This 707-nucleotide long non-coding RNA is filed under the name Anser brachyrhynchus (Pink-footed goose). Its description in RNAcentral is "lncRNA (ENSABRG00000010606.1)". Lineage: Eukaryota; Metazoa; Chordata; Aves; Anseriformes; Anatidae. The record is from RNAcentral.
CUUUUAUGGCAGAAAGGAACAACCGUGGAAUUUCGAACUACAGCUGUGUAUCCUGCUCAUCAUAAGCUAGGAAAGCAUAAGCAUACCAUAAGCUAGGAAAGUCAGAGUUCAUGCAAGAGCAGGACUUCUGCCCAGGUGCUGAUAGGAACACUUUUUUUUUGGAACUUCGCAUUUGAAAUAUAGUUCAGUUGCAUAUGUGAACAGAAGUUGCAUAAUACCUAGAGUAAUGUAUAUGAGAGUUAAGUAUUUGGAGACAAGUUUUCAAAACGUUUUCAAAAAUGGAAGAAAUAAAUAUGUGUUUAUAUUCUUUAAUACUAGGGACCUUUUAAGGUGCAGCAGCAUUUGAUCUGAAUUGUCAGCUCAUGGAUACUUAGUAAUUGCAGAUGAGUUUCCUCUCCUGUCCUUUUUGUUCACUGGUACCUUAAACUCCCCUACUUCAGUCAGUCACAAUCAUGAUCUAAUUGUGAUCUCUCUUGCUGUUUCCCUACAGUUGUAAGAAAUUCUCUUGUGUGCUGAAGAGAGAUGCCCCAGUCUGAGGAUGCUCAGCCAUGCUUCUAUCCAGGAGGUACUACUGAAAGAAAGAAGUGGCUCUUUGAACAGCAAGCUAAACAGGUAUGCAGUCUUAUCAGUGAGCCCAGCCCUUCUGUAACAAGAAUGAAGUUUGAUAAUCCUUUUCAUACAGUUAAGGCCCUCUGUCAUAAAACCAC